UACGGAGGAUGCGAGCGUUAUCCGGAUUUAUUGGGUUUAAAGGGUGCGCAGGCGGCGUGUCAAGUCAGCGGUAAAAUGUCGGGGCUCAACCCCGGCCGGCCGUUGAAACUGGCGUGCUCGAGUUGGAGAGAAGUAUGCGGAAUUCGUGGUGUAGCGGUGAAAUGCGUAGAUAUAUGGAGGAACACCGGUGGCGAAAGCGGCUCUCUGGCCUGUAACUGACACUGAGGCUCGAAAGCGUGGGGAUCAAACAGG
This 252-nucleotide ribosomal RNA is filed under the name uncultured bacterium. RNAcentral describes it as "partial 16S ribosomal RNA". It matches the Rfam family "Bacterial small subunit ribosomal RNA", at positions 524 to 776 of the family's 1533-position model. The record is from RNAcentral.